RNAcentral lists this ribosomal RNA (441 nucleotides) under uncultured bacterium. RNAcentral's name for it is "partial 16S ribosomal RNA". It matches the Rfam family "Bacterial small subunit ribosomal RNA", at positions 335 to 795 of the family's 1533-position model. The record is from RNAcentral.
ACUACGUGAGGCAGCAGUGGGGAAUAUUGCACAAUGGGGGGAACCCUGAUGCAGCGACGCCGCGUGGGUGAAGGAGUAUUUCGGUAUGUAAAGCCCUAUCAGCAGGGAAGAACAAUGACGGUACCUGACUAAGAAGCACCGGCUAAAUACGUGCCAGCAGCAGCGGUAAUACGUAUGGUGCAAGCGUUAUUCGGAUUUAUUGGGUGUAAAGGGAGCGCAGGCGGCGCGUUAAGCCGGGUGUGAAAGCCCGCGGCCCAACCGCGGGACUGCAUUUGGAACUGGCGCGCUGGAGUGCCGGAGGGGUAGGCGGAAUUCCUAGUGUAGCGGUGAAAUGCGUAGAUAUUAGGAGGAACACCAGUGGCGAAGGCGGCCUACUGGACGGUGACUGACGCUGAGGCUCGAAAGCGUGGGGAGCAAACAGGAUUAGAUACCCUGGUAGUC